UACGAAGGGUGCAAGCGUUACUCGGAAUUACUGGGCGUAAGGCGUGCGUAGGUGGUUCGUUAAGUCUGAUGUGAAAGCCCUGGGCUCAACCUGGGAAUUGCAUUGGAUACUGGCGAGCUGGAGUGCGGUAGAGGGUGGCGGAAUUCCCGGUGUAGCAGUGAAAUGCGUAGAGAUCGGGAGGAACAUCCGUGGCGAAGGCGGCCACCUGGACCAGCACUGACACUGAGGCGCGAAAGCGUGGGGAGCAAACAGG
Molecule: ribosomal RNA, 253 nt
Filed under: uncultured bacterium
Lineage: Bacteria
Description: partial 16S ribosomal RNA
Rfam family: Bacterial small subunit ribosomal RNA
Source: RNAcentral